RNAcentral lists this ribosomal RNA (347 nucleotides) under uncultured bacterium. RNAcentral's name for it is "bacterial SSU rRNA". It matches the Rfam family "Bacterial small subunit ribosomal RNA", at positions 102 to 449 of the family's 1533-position model. The record is from RNAcentral.
ACGGGUGAGUAACGCGUGAGGAACCUGCCUUUCAGAGGGGGACAACAGUUGGAAACGACUGCUAAUACCGCAUGAUACGUUUUAGGGGCAUCCCUGAGACGUCAAAGAUUUAUCGCUGAAAGAUGGCCUCGCGUCUGAUUAGCUGGUUGGUGAGGUAACGGCCCACCAAGGCGACGAUCAGUAGCCGGACUGAGAGGUUGACCGGCCACAUUGGGACUGAGAUACGGCCCAGACUCCUACGGGAGGCAGCAGUGGGGAAUAUUGGGCAAUGGGCGCAAGCCUGACCCAGCAACGCCGCGUGAAGGAAGAAGGCUUUCGGGUUGUAAACUUCUUUUAAGAGGGAAGAG